CCGUACCCAAUGCCAACGCGACACAGGGUCCGCCACCACCACAACGAUCAGCCCACAUGAAACAGAAUCCGCCGCACUGGAUCCACCACCGCGACCCCCGAUUCGCGAAGACAUAUCUGCAUUGAUGUCCAACAUUAGACACAGCUGGAAACCAACCAGACUGAACACUGAGUCAUUACUUCAACACUGACUCCAGUGCACAGUGUAAUCCAAAAGACCGUUUGGACCAGGACCGCGGCGGCGGCUCGUGGUGGGUGGGGGUGGACGGUGACUGAGGACUGGAGUGGCGUUCUGGCCUGGAUGGU
Pleuronectes platessa (European plaice) is the source of this 305-nucleotide long non-coding RNA. RefSeq lists it as uncharacterized. The transcript is spliced from 3 exons. The record is from RefSeq and is a predicted model, not a curated record. Lineage: Eukaryota; Metazoa; Chordata; Actinopteri; Pleuronectiformes; Pleuronectidae.